Pyrus x bretschneideri (Chinese white pear) is the source of this 696-nucleotide long non-coding RNA. RefSeq lists it as uncharacterized. The transcript is spliced from 2 exons. The record is from RefSeq and is a predicted model, not a curated record. Lineage: Eukaryota; Viridiplantae; Streptophyta; Magnoliopsida; Rosales; Rosaceae.
CUAAAACAAGGCAUCUAAUUCUAAUUUUCUCUACUUUUUAAUGAGUUUGUUUCUCAAAAUUUGAAUGAUUAUAACUUCUGUUUACUCAAAGCCUUUAAAAGUUUCAAAUGAUCUUUCAUUUAAAAACUUUGUUUCAGUGUUAAUUUUUAUGUCCCUGUCUUCUAUUUCCAGUAUUACACUCUCCCUUUCUCUCUCAGGUGCACAUAAACGGGAAAGAGAUGGCCCCACAACGAAGAAACAUGGCUUCGAGGAGGAAAAGAAAGAGGAGAAAACACGUUUGAGAGAUCAGCAGAGAAAGCGAAAGAAACUGCUGAGAGGACGACAUUGAGAUGAAGGGAGAAAAAUUGUUCUCGUAGGACUGAUUAUAUUAACUUGAAUGUUCUUCGACUAUGUAGUUUCUUAAACAGUUUUGUUCUUGUAGCUCUGUUUCGAUUUCAACUUAGUACAAAGACAAAAGUGAAAUUACGAGCAAUUACAGGCGAUUCAUUUGAUGAAAGAGUUCCCAUUUUUUCCAUUUCCUUUUGCAUUCCCUUUACAUAAUUCAAGCUCGAAAGUCAUUGAUUAGCCGAACAGCAAACGAAGUUGCGACAAACGAAACGUCUUUAUUAUUUGAAACAAUCUUGCUCGCAUUUUUUAGCUUCAACCAACAUGAUUGAUACAAAAUUUUCUGGAAUUAGAAUUCCAGCAAAACAAAAA